GAGACAGUUCGGUCCCUAUCUGCCAUGGGCGCAGGAUGCUUGAGAGGAGCUAUUCAUAGUACGAGAGGACCUGAAUGGACGUACCUCUAGUGUUCCAGUUGUCGCGCCAGCGGCAUAGCUGGGUAGCUAUGUACGGAACGGAUAACCGCUGAAAGCAUCUAAGCGGGAAGCCGGCCUCAAGAUUAGGCAUCCCGGGCCGUAAGGCCCCUAAAGACCCCUUGAAGACUACAAGGAGAUAGGCAGGGUGUGGAAGCGGUGAGAGCCGUGGAGCUGACCUGUACUAAUCGGUCGUGAG
RNAcentral lists this ribosomal RNA (295 nucleotides) under Strombidium inclinatum. RNAcentral's name for it is "partial Bacterial large subunit ribosomal RNA". It matches the Rfam family "Bacterial large subunit ribosomal RNA", at positions 2623 to 2915 of the family's 2925-position model. Lineage: Eukaryota; Ciliophora; Spirotrichea; Strombidiidae. The record is from RNAcentral.